Molecule: long non-coding RNA, 205 nt
Filed under: Linum usitatissimum (flax)
Lineage: Eukaryota; Viridiplantae; Streptophyta; Magnoliopsida; Malpighiales; Linaceae
Description: long non-coding RNA (LUSI_LNC000337)
Source: RNAcentral
AAGCUUUCUCAUUGGGUCUGAAUCCUUUACAGUGGGAGCCUGCCUAGCAGGAUAAUUUUCACCUACAAAAUAACUCUGCAAGCACCAAAAAAAAAAGUAGCUAAAAGAAGAGACAUUUAUCCUCAUAAUCUGUACUAAUUAUCACUGCACUCUCUUGCUGCUCCAUCCGAGUUCGAGAGCUCGUUGCUCCCAGGAAGCUGUAAUC